CCUGCCUCGGGCGCGCGCACGUCGUGCGUGCAGGGCUCGCUGGGGAUUCUGGCCUUGCGCGGCCUGGGAAAGGUGAACGGUGCGGGGCCGCCAUGUUCCUCUCCGCUGCGCUCCGGGCCCGGGCGGCUGGCUUCGCCGCCCAGUGGGGAAAAUAUAUAAGGAAUUUGCAUAAGACAGCUGUGCAAAAUGGAGCUGGAGGAGCCUUAUUUGUGCACAGAGACACUCCUGAGAAUAACCCAGAUACUCCAUUUGAUUUCACACCAGAAAACUAUAAGAGGAUAGAGGCAAUUGUCAAAAACUACCCAGAAGGGCAUAAAGCAGCAGCCGUGCUCCCGGUCCUGGAUCUCGCCCAGAGGCAGAAUGGGUGGCUGCCUAUCUCUGCAAUGAACAAGGUUGCAGAAGUUCUAGAUGUACCUCCAAUGAGAGUAUAUGAAGUAGCAACUUUUUAUACAAUGUAUAAUCGAAAACCAGUUGGAAAAUAUCACAUUCAAGUCUGCACCACUACUCCUUGCAUGCUCCGAAACUCUGACAGUAUACUGGAGGCCAUCCAGAAAAAACUUGGAAUAAAGGUUGGAGAAACUACACCUGACAAACUGUUCACUCUUAUCGAGGUGGAAUGUCUAGGGGCCUGUGUAAAUGCACCUAUGGUUCAAAUUAAUGACAACUACUACGAGGACUUGACACCGAAGGAUAUUGAAGAAAUUAUUGAUGAACUGAAGGCCGGCAAAAUGCCAAAACCUGGGCCAAGCUACACUGAUGAAGCGUUAAGAUACUGAAUGCUCAGAUUUCCUGAAACUUCAAAUGAGCCAUUUCAGUCACAUCCUGUUCCACUAAAGGCAGAGGAAAUCUGAUGCGGAGAUCCUAGUAAGGAUGAGGAAAGAUCUUUCAAGGAGUGGACGCUUCUCUUGUGAGCCAGCUGGGGGUCUCACUUCUUUGACUGAACCACCCAAAGGACCUGGUUUUGGUGUGCAAGCAGGCCUUUAAUUUAUAUUCAACUGUAAAUAAUGUCACUGGACAAAUAAAUAUGAACCGAUGUACAUAAA
This is an RNA transcript of Ochotona princeps (American pika), 1043 nucleotides long. It is a transcript of the gene named NADH:ubiquinone oxidoreductase core subunit V2, with no coding region annotated. The record is from RefSeq and is a predicted model, not a curated record. The transcript is spliced from 9 exons. Lineage: Eukaryota; Metazoa; Chordata; Mammalia; Lagomorpha; Ochotonidae.